CCUACGGGAGGCAGCAGUGAGGAAUAUUGGUCAAUGGCCGGAAGGCUGAACCAGCCAAGCCGCGUGAGGGAGGAAGGCGCAGAGCGUCGCAGACCUCUUUUGCCGGGGGACAAAAGGCCGGACUCGUCCGGUCCUGAGGGUACCCGGAGAAAAAGCAUCGGCUAACUCCGUGCCAGCAGCCGCGGUAAUACGGAGGAUGCGAGCGUUAUCCGGAUUUAUUGGGUUUAAAGGUUGCGUAGGCGGAAGGUUAAGUCAGCGGUCAAAUGUCGGUGCUCAACACCGGCCUGCCGUUGAAACUGGGCUUC
RNAcentral lists this ribosomal RNA (305 nucleotides) under uncultured bacterium. RNAcentral describes it as "bacterial SSU rRNA". It matches the Rfam family "Bacterial small subunit ribosomal RNA", at positions 338 to 641 of the family's 1533-position model. The record is from RNAcentral.